This is a long non-coding RNA of Clupea harengus (Atlantic herring), 2445 nucleotides long. The record is from Ensembl. Lineage: Eukaryota; Metazoa; Chordata; Actinopteri; Clupeiformes; Clupeidae.
AUUGUAACGGAAAAGAGAACUGUAACUACAUUGUCAGUUUGUGCGUGUGCGCGCUAGUUAAGAGUGUUCUUCUCCAUCAUGACUGAUAUUUUCUAUACCAUCAAACCAAAACAAGCGGAUUUGAAGAUUCCUGUUGAGAGUGCUAGUGUUCUGUUGGCAUUCAUCUGAGCAGUCCAAUCACAUUGGUUAUGUAACAUGACGUUUCUGAGCAGCUAUGGCCCAGUAUCAGAGAAAAUGUCCCCCCUAAAGACAGAUGAUUAGGAUUUAUUAACUGACAGUUCUGCUCUCACCAAGCCAGAGUGAUUGGUGUAUUUUUAGACUGCCUGUGGUGCAUACGAGGACACAGUGGAAACAGUUGUCAUCCUCUUUCUAGGCCAUUUGAAUUAUGUCCAUCAACUUGGCUAACCGGACCUCCACAAUAAGUUGGGAGUUCACAAAACAAGUUUUGGCAAAGAUUUCAACAUGUUUUGGAAAACAGACAAGGUUUCGAGUGGGGUGCAAUCAUGCUUUGAAGGUGUCCUUUCAGAAAUGUAUCUUUGAUCAAAGGAAGAAAAGGGCAUUUGCUCUAGAAACUUUCUGUCCAAAGAAUAUUUCUUAUUUGUAUGAGCCAAAGUUUUUUUUUUUUUUUCUACAAGAUGGUAUUUUGUUUUACCAUUGAAAACACAAGCACUGCAGUGGUCAGGCAGUGUCUCCUUCACGAGGUGUGACUUUUGAUUACAAUGUACAGAAAAACAGUGUUUGCACAGUGGAAUAAUACUACAGGAACGUGUGUGAGAAUGUUAGCUAUGUUCUCAGAUGGUCUAGAUAAGUGCAAGAUGGCUUUGUUGGAAGUUGUAGGCUAAUAGAUUCCGGCAGAAAGAAAGCUGAAGUGUGUGUGUGUGUGUGUGUGUGUGUCAGUUUAGUUUUUGAGGCCAUUUCUGCAACUGACAAAGAUCUCACAGGAACACUAAUACAGAACUAAUAACACUUUGUCACAGUUGAAGGAUCAUGACCGAAUUCAUUUGACGAUCAAGCAUGUAGCUAUACUACAAAGGCAUUCAAUUAUAACACAUUUCCCUCCAGACCAUAACAAUCAAAUCUUUAGAGAGCAUUUUGAUUUGAUUGCGCAAUUCCAGACUGCUUAUGCAUUCAGGUGUGAAACUUUAAGAUUCAAAAACAAAAAAACUAAACAAAAGCGUGGUUCUCAUAUGCAGUAAGUUUAAGCCAAUGAAAAGGUGUACACAAUUUCACAAAAACUGGUGUAUGCAGGUGUUUUAUUGCACUUUGUAAUUGUUUUCCUUUUUGUUUGUUUUUUUCCUUCACAAGCCUUUUUGUUUUGUUUGAAAUGACCCUGAGGUUAAUUCUCUUGCAUGUAUUUUAAAGCAACGUAACCAAUUAUACUCCUUUACUAUAUGAAAAUGGAUCAGAUGCAUUAGAGAGCUAGUAAACGCUAAGCAGCCUUCCAUUGGCCCCCGUUGAACCCAUUAACUGCAUGGUUCUCCUCACUCUCCUUGAUGUUUGUCUGUCUGUACAGGCUACAGAUCCUCCUGGGCUGGACCCACUGAAGGCCCAUUGGAAUUAUCUAUGUCAUUUUUGUGGUUAAUGCUUUUAAACUUUUUUUUUUUUUUUUUUUUUUUUCAUUCAAUGAGCAGCAACUGGGACUAUAUACAGAUGUUGGACUUGAAGCAUCUUUUCUAUGACACACACAAAAAAAAAGACGAAAUGGGAAAAGAAAUCGACAACUUUCAUACUUCAGUUUCAAAAUGUUUUACUUGAAUUUCAUGGCUCAGAACCACCCUUGUAUGUCAAGAACAGAGCGGUUGUUGCCAUGUUGUGUAGCACUGAAGGUUGGCUUGCAUAGGCAGUUUCAUACCGAUUGUGAAUGUUGAAAUCUUUUAGGUCGUUUGAGUCGCACUAUGGUUAGAAACACUAAUGUGUGCCCAUUUGGGCCCUAUUUUGAAGUAAAACAAAUAUUAAAACAAAUACACAUUUGAUGUAUUUGAGGACUUUCAGAAGGUGAUGUUGAAAAGCAAGGUCGAUAUGGCUUCUGUGCUAUACUGAAAUGUUUUCAGUGGUUACAUUUCUGCAUCAUUCUGAAGAGUACUUGUACUUUUAUUAGCCAUUUACAUCUUAAAUUCUAUUUUCAUACAUUAUAAUUAUAAUAUUAUUAUCACCAUCGCUACUAUGAAUAUAUUACGGGCCAAAUACUCUUACAUACAUUCAUUCUGCAUGGGAUUUGAAUAAGAAAGCCCUAUUAUUUGGUUCAUUUUUCCGUACCUAUUAAAAGAUGUUUGGCCUAAGACUGCACUCUAGUAACCCUAUAUUACAUCUAAAUUACUAACCCAUAACAGACCCCCAUUUUCAUUUAUGUACUUUCAUUGUGCACCACAGUUAAAUUGCUUUGUACCCUGUAUGUCUUCAGUAUUUUGAGUGUUAUGUGACUAUGUACAAAUAAACAUAUUUCAG